Molecule: ribosomal RNA, 1438 nt
Filed under: Escherichia coli
Lineage: Bacteria; Pseudomonadati; Pseudomonadota; Gammaproteobacteria; Enterobacterales; Enterobacteriaceae
Description: partial 23S ribosomal RNA
Rfam family: Bacterial large subunit ribosomal RNA
Source: RNAcentral
GGGACACGUGGUAUCCUGUCUGAAUAUGGGGGGACCAUCCUCCAAGGCUAAAUACUCCUGACUGACCGAUAGUGAACCAGUACCGUGAGGGAAAGGCGAAAAGAACCCCGGCGAGGGGAGUGAAAAAGAACCUGAAACCGUGUACGUACAAGCAGUGGGAGCACGCUUAGGCGUGUGACUGCGUACCUUUUGUAUAAUGGGUCAGCGACUUAUAUUCUGUAGCAAGGUUAACCGAAUAGGGGAGCCGAAGGGAAACCGAGUCUUAACUGGGCGUUAAGUUGCAGGGUAUAGACCCGAAACCCGGUGAUCUAGCCAUGGGCAGGUUGAAGGUUGGGUAACACUAACUGGAGGACCGAACCGACUAAUGUUGAAAAAUUAGCGGAUGACUUGUGGCUGGGGGUGAAAGGCCAAUCAAACCGGGAGAUAGCUGGUUCUCCCCGAAAGCUAUUUAGGUAGCGCCUCGUGAAUUCAUCUCCGGGGGUAGAGCACUGUUUCGGCAAGGGGGUCAUCCCGACUUACCAACCCGAUGCAAACUGCGAAUACCGGAGAAUGUUAUCACGGGAGACACACGGCGGGUGCUAACGUCCGUCGUGAAGAGGGAAACAACCCAGACCGCCAGCUAAGGUCCCAAAGUCAUGGUUAAGUGGGAAACGAUGUGGGAAGGCCCAGACAGCCAGGAUGUUGGCUUAGAAGCAGCCAUCAUUUAAAGAAAGCGUAAUAGCUCACUGGUCGAGUCGGCCUGCGCGGAAGAUGUAACGGGGCUAAACCAUGCACCGAAGCUGCGGCAGCGACGCUUAUGCGUUGUUGGGUAGGGGAGCGUUCUGUAAGCCUGUGAAGGUGUGCUGUGAGGCAUGCUGGAGGUAUCAGAAGUGCGAAUGCUGACAUAAGUAACGAUAAAGCGGGUGAAAAGCCCGCUCGCCGGAAGACCAAGGGUUCCUGUCCAACGUUAAUCGGGGCAGGGUGAGUCGACCCCUAAGGCGAGGCCGAAAGGCGUAGUCGAUGGGAAACAGGUUAAUAUUCCUGUACUUGGUGUUACUGCGAAGGGGGGACGGAGAAGGCUAUGUUGGCCGGGCGACGGUUGUCCCGGUUUAAGCGUGUAGGCUGGUUUUCCAGGCAAAUCCGGAAAAUCAAGGCUGAGGCGUGAUGACGAGGCACUACGGUGCUGAAGCAACAAAUGCCCUGCUUCCAGGAAAAGCCUCUAAGCAUCAGGUAACAUCAAAUCGUACCCCAAACCGACACAGGUGGUCAGGUAGAGAAUACCAAGGCGCUUGAGAGAACUCGGGUGAAGGAACUAGGCAAAAUGGUGCCGUAACUUCGGGAGAAGGCACGCUGAUAUGUAGGUGAAGUCCCUCGCGGAUGGAGCUGAAAUCAGUCGAAGAUACCAGCUGGCUGCAACUGUUUAUUAAAAACACAGCACUGUGCAAACACGAAAGUGGAC